Helianthus annuus (common sunflower) is the source of this 1362-nucleotide long non-coding RNA. RefSeq lists it as uncharacterized. NCBI's taxonomy places the organism in Eukaryota, Viridiplantae, Streptophyta, Magnoliopsida, Asterales, Asteraceae. The record is from RefSeq and is a predicted model, not a curated record. The transcript has 6 exons.
AUACUCCUCUCAAUAUUGAUUUGAGCGGCAAUCACCAAUUCCCUUUCUCUUUCCGUCUUCUCAAAAUAAAAAACCCUAAAUCUCAGCCGUCAUCCACAUUCUCACUUAUUUCCAUUUUCCUUUCAUCCGCCAUUCACAACCCUAAUAAUCAUCUACAACAUCUGUGGUGAUUUCAUCCUAUAAUCUGAUUCAGAUCCUAUCAAAAUUGUUUCCUUUCACAAAUACUUAAUCUGGAGGAGGCGAUUGUCAUGGAAGUGAUUAUUCAAAACCCUAAAUCGUAACAAGAUGAACUGCAUCCAGUGUCAAUCUACACUAUUAAGAAGAAGGAUGAGACCGAGAGGGUUGUCAAGGCCACCUUUAUAUAUAGAAGAAGAUUUAAUGUCAAGUUAUGGAGUACUAACUAGGAGAAAGGCAACCAUUGUACGACUUGAGACUCUUAUUUGGCUCCAACUUAGUGGUACACAUGGAUGAUAUCUUGCAUUCCCUUCCUCUUCGGCUUUGAGAAGAAAGGUUGCGAUGCCUCUUCUACCAUGCAAAAUUGAAAGUUUAUGCACAGAUACGAAAUCAUAUUAUUAUUAUUUUUUUGCAUAGUUUUAUUUCAUGAUUUUAAAGUUUGGUUUUAUUCUCUAUAAUUGUUUUCACUAAUUGAAAAAAAUCAUAAUGGAACAAUGGUUUCAUUCGUAUACAAAUGCUAAUUUAGGAUUUUUUUUGUUUUGUUGAAGAGGUAAUUCUUCGACGAGGAAAUGGCAGUUGUAAAAGAAUAACACUGACUGUUUCAUAUAAUAAGAAACGAAGCAAGAGAAAAAGAGUAACUAUCUUUGUUGGGAACCAGUUCCUACAUGAAGCUCAAGAAAGGUAGGGUUUGUGCUUUGAAUUGAAGGUUAUAUGGAUCUUAUUUGAUUCACAUCAAUGUAGAAAAAAAGGCCCAUGCUGCUUCAGCCGUGCUAAAUUUCAGCAAGAACUGCAACCCUGAUAUCUUCACCCUUUACUUGGAUGGAAUAAUGAGCAAGUUACUUGUAUUAUUACAGAAUCUAGAAUGGUAAGCAAAUGGUAUAAGAAGGGGUCUUGACUGCUCUAGCAUCCGUUGCUGACUCAUCACAGGAACACUUCCAAAAGUACUAUAAUGCAGUUAUGCCUUAUUUAAAAGCUAUAUUAGUUAAUGCAAAUGAUAAAGCUAAUUGUAUGCUUAGAGCGAAAGCCAUGGAAUGCAUUAGUUUGGUUGGAAUGGCUGUUGGGAAGGAAAAAUUCAGAGACGAUGCUAAGCAGGUAUGUUUCUAGAAAAAAUGAUGAUCUAUAUGGGCUUCAAUGCGGUAGAUAUUAUAUGUUUGUGUUAAGCCACCCGCGAAACUCGCGGGAUCUUAG